GCUCAGGAUGAACGCUGGCGGCGUGCCUAAUACAUGCAAGUCGAGCGAACGGACGAGAAGCUUGCUUCUCUGAUGUUAGCGGCGGACGGGUGAGUAACACGUGGAUAACCUACCUAUAAGACUGGGAUAACUUCGGGAAACCGGAGCUAAUACCGGAUAAUAUUUUGAACCGCAUGGUUCAAAAGUGAAAGACGGUCUUGCUGUCACUUAUAGAUGGAUCCGCGCUGCAUUAGCUAGUUGGUAAGGUAACGGCUUACCAAGGCAACGAUGCAUAGCCGACCUGAGAGGGUGAUCGGCCACACUGGAACUGAGACACGGUCCAGACUCCUACGGGAGGCAGCAGUAGGGAAUCUUCCGCAAUGGGCGAAAGCCUGACGGAGCAACGCCGCGUGAGUGAUGAAGGUCUUCGGAUCGUAAAACUCUGUUAUUAGGGAAGAACAUAUGUGUAAGUAACUGUGCACAUCUUGACGGUACCUAAUCAGAAAGCCACGGCUAACUACGUGCCAGCAGCCGCGGUAAUACGUAGGUGGCAAGCGUUAUCCGGAAUUAUUGGGCGUAAAGCGCGCGUAGGCGGUUUUUUAAGUCUGAUGUGAAAGCCCACGGCUCAACCGUGGAGGGUCAUUGGAAACUGGAAAACUUGAGUGCAGAAGAGGAAAGUGGAAUUCCAUGUGUAGCGGUGAAAUGCGCAGAGAUAUGGAGGAACACCAGUGGCGAAGGCGACUUUCUGGUCUGUAACUGACGCUGAUGUGCGAAAGCGUGGGGAUCAAACAGGAUUAGAUACCCUGGUAGUCCACGCCGUAAACGAUGAGUGCUAAGUGUUAGGGGGUUUCCGCCCCUUAGUGCUGCAGCUAACGCAUUAAGCACUCCGCCUGGGGAGUACGACCGCAAGGUUGAAACUCAAAGGAAUUGACGGGGACCCGCACAAGCGGUGGAGCAUGUGGUUUAAUUCGAAGCAACGCGAAGAACCUUACCAAAUCUUGACAUCCUUUGACAACUCUAGAGAUAGAGCCUUCCCCUUCGGGGGACAAAGUGACAGGUGGUGCAUGGUUGUCGUCAGCUCGUGUCGUGAGAUGUUGGGUUAAGUCCCGCAACGAGCGCAACCCUUAAGCUUAGUUGCCAUCAUUAAGUUGGGCACUCUAAGUUGACUGCCGGUGACAAACCGGAGGAAGGUGGGGAUGACGUCAAAUCAUCAUGCCCCUUAUGAUUUGGGCUACACACGUGCUACAAUGGACAAUACAAAGGGCAGCGAAACCGCGAGGUCAAGCAAAUCCCAUAAAGUUGUUCUCAGUUCGGAUUGUAGUCUGCAACUCGACUACAUGAAGCUGGAAUCGCUAGUAAUCGUAGAUCAGCAUGCUACGGUGAAUACGUUCCCGGGUCUUGUACACACCGCCCGUCACACCACGAGAGUUUGUAACACCCGAAGCCGGUGGAGUAACCUUUUAGGAGCUAGCCGUCGAAGGUGGGACAAAUGAUUGGGGUGAAGUCGUAAC
RNAcentral lists this ribosomal RNA (1490 nucleotides) under Staphylococcus aureus. RNAcentral describes it as "16S ribosomal RNA". It matches the Rfam family "Bacterial small subunit ribosomal RNA". Lineage: Bacteria; Bacillati; Bacillota; Bacilli; Caryophanales; Staphylococcaceae. The record is from RNAcentral.